GCACAAGCGGUGGAUGAUGUGGUUUAAUUCGAUGCAACGCGAAAACCUUACCCACCUUUGACAUGUACGGAACUUACCAGAGAUGGUUUGGUGCUCGAAAGAGAGCCGUAACACAGGUGCUGCAUGGCUGUCGUCAGCUCGUGUCGUGAGAUGUUGGGUUAAGUCCCGCAACGAGCGCAACCCUUGUCAUUAGUUGCUACGAAAGGGCACUCUAAUGAGACUGCCGGUGACAAACCGGAGGAAGUGGGGAUGACGUCAAGUCCUCAUGGCCCUUAUAGGUGGGGCUACACACGUCAUACAAUGGCUGGUACAAAGGGUUGCCAACCCGCGAGGGGGAGCCAAUCCCAUAAAGCCAGUCGUAGUCCGGAUCGCAGUCUGCAACUCGACUGCGUGAAGUCGGAAUCGCUAGUAAUCGUGGAUCAGCAUGUCACGGUGAAUACGUUCCCGGGUCUU
This 453-nucleotide ribosomal RNA is filed under the name uncultured Comamonadaceae bacterium. Its description in RNAcentral is "bacterial SSU rRNA". It matches the Rfam family "Bacterial small subunit ribosomal RNA", at positions 923 to 1382 of the family's 1533-position model. Lineage: Bacteria; Pseudomonadati; Pseudomonadota; Betaproteobacteria; Burkholderiales; Comamonadaceae. The record is from RNAcentral.